GAUGAACGCUGGCGGCGUGCCUAAUACAUGCAAGUCGAGCGAACGGACGAGAAGCUUGCUUUUCUGAUGUUAGCGGCGGACGGGUGAGUAACACGUGGAUAACCUACCUAUAAGACUGGGAUAACUUCGGGAAACCGGAGCUAAUACCGGAUAAUAUUUUGAACCGCAUGGUUCAAAAGUGAAAGACGGUCUUGCUGUCACUUAUAGAUGGAUCCGCGCUGCAUUAGCUAGAUGGUAAGGUAACGGCUUACCAAGGCAACGAUGCAUAGCCGACCUGAGAGGGUGAUCGGCCACACUGGAACUGAGACACAGUCCAGACUCCUACGGGAGGCAGCAGUAGGGAAUCUUCCGCAAUGGGCGAAAGCCUGACGGAGCAACGCCGCGUGAGUGAUGAAGGUCUUCGGAUCGUAAAACUCUGUUAUUAGGGAAGAACAUAUGUGUAAGUAACUGUGCACAUCUUGACGGUACCUAAUCAGAAAGCCACGGCUAACUACGUG
RNAcentral lists this ribosomal RNA (497 nucleotides) under uncultured bacterium. Its description in RNAcentral is "partial 16S ribosomal RNA". It matches the Rfam family "Bacterial small subunit ribosomal RNA", at positions 28 to 507 of the family's 1533-position model. The record is from RNAcentral.